This 1596-nucleotide ribosomal RNA is filed under the name Holomastigotoides sp. RNAcentral describes it as "SSU rRNA". It matches the Rfam family "Eukaryotic small subunit ribosomal RNA". Lineage: Eukaryota; Parabasalia; Holomastigotoidida; Holomastigotoididae. The record is from RNAcentral.
CCCAAUGUGGAAUUCGCCCUUGCGCUACCUGGUUGAUCCUGCCAAGGAAGCACACUAAGGCCAUAGAUUAAGCCAUGCAAGUGCUAGUUCAGGCAACGAAACUGCGAACAGCUCAUUAAUACGCUCAGAACCUAAUUGGUUACGGCCCAGCAGGGUCCUAAAUGGAUAGCAGCAGAAAUUCUGGUGCUAAUACAUGCAGUCAAACCACCAAAAGCGAGGCAAGGUGAGGACAUGACCAAUAGGCGUACCAUUCGGUUGAGCGCCCUAUCAGCUAGUACGUAGUGUCUGUUACUAUGUAGGCUGUCACGGGUAACGGGCGGUUAUCGUCGGACUGCCGGAGAAGGCGCCUGAGAGACAGCGGCUAUACCCAUGGGUAGCAGCAGGCGCGAAACUUACCCACUCGCCAACGGCGGAGGUGGUAAUGGCCAGUUCCAUCGUGUCGCAAGACCGGCGGAUAGGAUCACGCCCUAUGAGCGUGGUGUAAUCAAGGAGAGGGCCAGUUCUGGUGCCAGCAGCUGCGGUAAUUCCAGCUCUCCGAGUUUGCUCCCAAUGCUACACUUAAAACGCCCGUAGUCGGAGUGCGAAGCGCGAAUAGCGCGUUCACCGUGAAUAAAUCAGGACGCUUAGGGUAGUUCACAACUGAAUGACUAAGCGCGGUAUGAAAUCUUUACCCAGACCAGGGUCAGAUCAAAGAGAGCCAUCGGGGGUAGACCUACCUCGUGGCGAGGGGCGGAAUCUAUUGACCCAUGAGGGAGGAACAAAUGCGAAGGCAUCUACCUAGAGGGUAUCUGUCGAUCAAGGGCGAGAGCCGCAGUAGCCAACCGGAUUAGAGACCCGGUAGUUGCGGCCUUAAACGAUGCCGACAGGGCCUCGUCGUAAAGGCGGGGUCCAAGGAGAAAUCAUAGUCUCUGGGCUGUGGGGGAACUACGACCGCAAGGCUGAAACUUGAAGGAAUUGACGGAAGGGCACACCAGGGGUGGAGCUUGUGGCUCAAUCUGACUCAACACGGAGAAACUUACCAGGACCAGAUAUUUUUAAUGACUGACCAGCUAAAGACUGUUCAGGAUAUGAUUUUUGGUGGUGCAUGGCCGUUGGUGGUGCGUGGAUUGAUCUGUCAUGCGUCGAUUCAGAUAACGAGCGAGACUACCACCGAUUACUUAGGUGUCAUUGCAUUAGCAAGCGUCAUCUUCUAAUCGGGACUCCCUGCGUCUAAGCAGGCGGAAGAGGGUAGCAAUAGCAGGUCCGUGAUGUCCUUUAGAUGCUCUGGGCUGCACGCGCGCUACAAUGCUAGGUGCAACGGGAAGCUAACCCGACAGGGUAUGCCACUCCCUUAGUCCCUAGCGUAGUUAGGAUCGAGGAUUGUAAUCAUCUUCGUGAAUCAGGAAUCCCUUGUAAACGUGUAUCAACAGUGCACGUUGAAUACGUCCCUGCCCUUUGUACACACCGCCCGUCGCUCCUACCGAUUGGAUGGAUCGGUGAAGCUAUUGGAGGCGUAAGCCAAAGGUAGUUGAGCCCAUCGAUUUAGAGGAAGGAGAAGUCGUAACAAGGUAACAGUAGGUGAACCUGCAGAAGGAUCAAAGGGCGAAUUCCACAGUG